RNAcentral lists this long non-coding RNA (199 nucleotides) under Lathyrus oleraceus (garden pea). RNAcentral describes it as "Pisum sativum (pea) long non-coding RNA (PSAT_LNC021982)". The record is from RNAcentral. Lineage: Eukaryota; Viridiplantae; Streptophyta; Magnoliopsida; Fabales; Fabaceae.
CCAAUUUACAAACUAAAAAAAAACCGUUAACCGUGCAUACCAUGAACACAUAUUGACCUGCUACCAUAUAUAUUUAAUUAUUAAGCAAACAAAGCCUGCACAAACACCAAAAGUAUUCAUAACAUAACCAAAACAAUCCACCAUCCAAGCCAUUUACACCUUCACGCAAAUUUCGACCAGGAAUUCAAUAAUUCAAUUU